GCUUAACACAUGCAAGUCGAGGGGCAUCAGGAAGAAAGCUUGCUUUCUUUGCUGGCGACCGGCGCACGGGUGAGUAACACGUAUCCAACCUGCCCUUUACUCGGGGAUAGCCUUUCGAAAGAAAGAUUAAUACCCGAUAGCAUAAUGAUUCCGCAUGGUUUCAUUAUUAAAGGAUUCCGGUAAAGGAUGGGGAUGCGUUCCAUUAGGUUGUUGGUGAGGUAACGGCCCACCAAGCCUUCGAUGGAUAGGGGUUCUGAGAGGAAGGUCCCCCACAUUGGAACUGAGACACGGUCCAAACUCCUACGGGAGGCAGCAGUGAGGAAUAUUGGUCAAUGGGCGCUAGCCUGAACCAGCCAAGUAGCGUGAAGGAUGAAGGCUCUAUGGGUCGUAAACUUCUUUUAUAUAAGAAUAAAGUGCAGUAUGUAUACUGUUUUGUAUGUAUUAUAUGAAUAAGGAUCGGCUAACUCCGUGCCAGCAGCCGCGGUAAUACGGAGGAUCCGAGCGUUAUCCGGAUUUAUUGGGUUUAAAGGGAGCGUAGGUGGACUGGUAAGUCAGUUGUGAAAGUUUGCGGCUCAACCGUAAAAUUGCAGUUGAUACUGUCAGUCUUGAGUACAGUAGAGGUGGGCGGAAUUCGUGGUGUAGCGGUGAAAUGCUUAGAUAUCACGAAGAACUCCGAUUGCGAAGGCAGCUCACUGGACUGCAACUGACACUGAUGCUCGAAAGUGUGGGUAUCAAACAGGAUUAGAUACCCUGGUAGUCCACACAGUAAACGAUGAAUACUCGCUGUUUGCGAUAUACAGUAAGCGGCCAAGCGAAAGCAUUAAGUAUUCCACCUGGGGAGUACGCCGGCAACGGUGAAACUCAAAGGAAUUGACGGGGGCCCGCACAAGCGGAGGAACAUGUGGUUUAAUUCGAUGAUACGCGAGGAACCUUACCCGGGCUUAAAUUGCAGUGGAAUGAUGUGGAAACAUGUCAGUGAGCAAUCACCGCUGUGAAGGUGCUGCAUGGUUGUCGUCAGCUCGUGCCGUGAGGUGUCGGCUUAAGUGCCAUAACGAGCGCAACCCUUAUCUUUAGUUACUAACAGGUUAUGCUGAGGACUCUGGAGAGACUGCCGUCGUAAGAUGUGAGGAAGGUGGGGAUGACGUCAAAUCAGCACGGCCCUUACGUCCGGGGCUACACACGUGUUACAAUGGGGGGUACAGAAGGCAGCUAGCGGGUGACCGUAUGCUAAUCCCAAAAGCCUCUCUCAGUUCGGAUCGAAGUCUGCAACCCGACUUCGUGAAGCUGGAUUCGCUAGUAAUCGCGCAUCAGCCACGGCGCGGUGAAUACGUUCCCGGGCCUUGUACACACCGCCCGUCAAGCCAUGAAAGCCGGGGGUACCUGAAGUACGUAACCGCAAGGAGCGUCCUAGGGUAAAACUGGUAAUUGGGGCUAAGUC
RNAcentral lists this ribosomal RNA (1438 nucleotides) under uncultured organism. RNAcentral's name for it is "16S ribosomal RNA". It matches the Rfam family "Bacterial small subunit ribosomal RNA". The record is from RNAcentral.